RNAcentral lists this ribosomal RNA (497 nucleotides) under uncultured bacterium. Its description in RNAcentral is "partial 16S ribosomal RNA". It matches the Rfam family "Bacterial small subunit ribosomal RNA", at positions 28 to 507 of the family's 1533-position model. The record is from RNAcentral.
GAUGAACGCUGGCGGCGGGCCUAAUACAUGCAAGUCGAGCGAACAGACGAGGAGCUUGCUCCUCUGACGUUGGCGGCGGACGGGUGAGUAACACGUGGAUAACCUUCCUAUAAUACUGGGAUAACUUCGGGAAACCGGAGCUAAUACCGGCUAAUAUGUUGAACCGCAUGGUUCAAGAGUGAAAGACGGUUUUGCUGUCUGUUAUAGAUGGAUCCGGGCCGGAUUAGGUAGGUGGUAAGGUAAAGGCCUACCAAGGCGACGAUGCGUAGCCGGUCUGAUAGGAUGAUCAGGCACCAUGGAACUUAGACACGGUCCAGACUCCUACGGGAGGCAGCAGUGGGGAAUAUUGGACAAUGGGCGGAAGCCUGAACCAGCCAUACCGCGUGGGUGAAGAAGGGCUUCGGGUUGGAAAGCCCUUUUGUUUGGAAAGAAAAACAGCAGGAAAUAACCCCGCUGGUCUGACGGGACCCAAAGAAGAAGCACCCGCUAACUUCCUG